AUUCCAGCUCCAAUAGCGUAUAUUAAAGUUGUUGCAGUUAAAAAGCUCGUAGUUGGAGUUCAGAGUGAGCUCAGCCGGUCCGCCUCAUGGGUGAGUACUGGUCGACUCUCUCUUGUUUGUGAAUCCCGCCCGGAGUUAAUUCUUCGGGAUGUGGAGUUCACAUCGUUUACCUUGAAAAAAUUAGAGUGUUCAAAGCAGGCGUUUGCUUGAAUAUAUUAGCAUGGAAUAAUGGAAUAGGACCCUGGUUCUAUUUUGUUGGUUUUGAGAACCAGAGUAAUGAUUAAUAGGGAUAGUUGGGGGCAUUCAUAUUUCAUUGUCAGAGGUGAAAUUCUUGGAUUUAUGAAAGAUGAACUUCUGCGAAAGCAUUUGCCAAGGAUGUUUUCAUUG
This 387-nucleotide ribosomal RNA is filed under the name Telonemia sp. Its description in RNAcentral is "partial small subunit ribosomal RNA". It matches the Rfam family "Eukaryotic small subunit ribosomal RNA", at positions 582 to 975 of the family's 1831-position model. Lineage: Eukaryota; Telonemia. The record is from RNAcentral.